RNAcentral lists this ribosomal RNA (449 nucleotides) under uncultured bacterium. RNAcentral's name for it is "partial 16S ribosomal RNA". It matches the Rfam family "Bacterial small subunit ribosomal RNA", at positions 28 to 523 of the family's 1533-position model. The record is from RNAcentral.
GAUGAACGCUGGCGGCAGGCCUAACACAUGCAAGUCGAGCGAGGACUUCGGUCCUAGCGGCGGACGGGUGAGUAACGCGUGGGAACGUGCCCCUUGGUACGGAAUAGCCCCGGGAAACUGGGAGUAAUACCGUAUGAGCUCUACGGAGGAAAGAUUUAUCGCCAAGGGAUCGGCCCGCGUUGGAUUAGGUAGUUGGUGGGGUAAUGGCCUACCAAGCCGACGAUCCAUAGCUGGUUUGAGAGGAUGAUCAGCCAGACUGGGACUGAGACACGGCCCAGACUCCUACGGGAGGCAGCAGUGGGGAAUCUUAGACAAUGGGCGCAAGUCUGAUCUAGCCAUGCCGCGUGAGCGAUGAAGGCCUUAGGGUUGUAAAGCUCUUUCAGCUGGGAAGAUAAUGACUGUACCAGCAGAAGAAGCCCCGGCUAACUCCGUGCCAGCCGCCGCCGUAA